This 253-nucleotide ribosomal RNA is filed under the name uncultured bacterium. Its description in RNAcentral is "partial 16S ribosomal RNA". It matches the Rfam family "Bacterial small subunit ribosomal RNA", at positions 524 to 776 of the family's 1533-position model. The record is from RNAcentral.
UACGUAGGGGGCUAGCGUUGUCCGGAAUCAUUGGGCGUAAAGCGCGUGUAGGCGGCCCGGUAAGUCCGCUGUGAAAGUCGGGGGCUCAACCCUCGAAAGCCGGUGGAUACUGUCGGGCUAGAGUACGGAAGAGGCGAGUGGAAUUCCUGGUGUAGCGGUGAAAUGCGCAGAUAUCAGGAGGAACACCCAUUGCGAAGGCAGCUCGCUGGGACGUUACUGACGCUGAGGUGCGAAAGCGUGGGGAGCAAACAGG